AGGGCUUAACUAAAAGGAGAUAUCCGAGAUUGCUUUAUGGACUCGUAGACCUGGAGAAGCGUGUUAUAUAGCAAAUGGGUCUACUACUAAUUAUAAGGUUCAUGGGGUCAACUGGAGGGGUGGUGGGAACUGAGGGGANNNNNNNNNNNNNNNNNNNNAUACUAUAUAUAUAUAGAGAGAGAGAGAGAGAGAGAGGAGGAGAGGAGGAGGAGAAACUGGGUAAGGGCUUAACUAAAAGGCGAUAUCCGAGAUUGCUUUAUAGACUCGUAGACCUGGAGAAGCGUGUUAUAUAGCAAAUGGGUCUACUACUAAUUAUAAGGUUCAUGGGGUCAACUGGAGGGGUGGUGGGAACUGAGGGGAAGCUUUACGCAAAGAGGUGGUGGCCGAUCCGAUCGUCGGGUUGGAAGUGUGAGAGGGAGCUGAGUUGGAUAUGGGCGAG
Molecule: long non-coding RNA, 439 nt
Filed under: Elaeis guineensis (African oil palm)
Lineage: Eukaryota; Viridiplantae; Streptophyta; Magnoliopsida; Arecales; Arecaceae
Description: long non-coding RNA (EGUI_LNC016550)
Source: RNAcentral